This 772-nucleotide ribosomal RNA is filed under the name Exiguobacterium undae. RNAcentral's name for it is "bacterial SSU rRNA". It matches the Rfam family "Bacterial small subunit ribosomal RNA", at positions 65 to 817 of the family's 1533-position model. Lineage: Bacteria; Bacillati; Bacillota; Bacilli; Caryophanales. The record is from RNAcentral.
AGCUCACGGAACUCUUCGGAGGGAAGUGAAGGGAAUGAGCGGCGGACGGGUGAGUAACACGUAAGGAACCUGCCCCAAGGAUUGGGAUAACUCCGAGAAAUCGGAGCUAAUACCGAAUAGUUCUUCAGACCGCAUGGUCUGAUGAUGAAAGGCGCUCCGGCGUCACCUUGGGAUGGCCUUGCGGUGCAUUAGCUAGUUGGUGGGGUAAUGGCCCACCAAGGCGACGAUGCAUAGCCGACCUGAGAGGGUGAUCGGCCACACUGGGACUGAGACACGGCCCAGACUCCUACGGGAGGCAGCAGUAGGGAAUCUUCCACAAUGGACGAAAGUCUGAUGGAGCAACGCCGCGUGAGUGAUGAAGGUUUUCGGAUCGUAAAACUCUGUUGUAAGGGAAGAACAGGUAUGAGAGGUAAUGCUCAUGCUAUGACGGUACCUUACGAGAAAGCCACGGCUAACUACGUGCCAGCAGCCGCGGUAAUACGUAGGUGGCAAGCGUUGUCCGGAAUUAUUGGGCGUAAAGCGCGCGCAGGCGGCCUUUUAAGUCUGAUGUGAAAGCCCCCGGCUCAACCGGGGAGGGUCAUUGGAAACUGGAAGGCUUGAGUACAGAAGAGAAGAGUGGAAUUCCAUGUGUAGCGGUGAAAUGCGUAGAGAUGUGGAGGAACACCAGUGGCGAAGGCGACUCUUUGGUCUGUAACUGACGCUGAGGCGCGAAAGCGUGGGGAGCAAACAGGAUUAGAUACCCUGGUAGUCCACGCCGUAAACGAUGAGUGCU